Molecule: ribosomal RNA, 235 nt
Filed under: uncultured archaeon
Lineage: Archaea
Description: partial 16S ribosomal RNA
Rfam family: Archaeal small subunit ribosomal RNA
Source: RNAcentral
AGGGUGUAAACGAUGCGGGCUUGGUGUUGGGGGUCCUUAGUGGGCGCCCAGUGCCGGAGAGAAGUUGUUAAGCCUGCUGCUUGGGGAGUAUGUCCGCAAGGAUGAAACUUAAAGGAAUUGGCGGGGGAGCACCGCAACGGGAGGAGCGUGCGGUUCAAUUGGAUUCAACGCCGGACAACUCACCAGGAGCGACGAUUACAUGAAGGCCAGGCUGAAGACCUUGCUUGACUAGCUG